AGCUCCACUAGCGUAUAUUAAAGUUGUUGCAGUUAAAAAGCUCGUAGUUGAACUUCUGGCUGCGCACGGCCUCGGAAGCAAUUUCGGGCCGGGUUUUCAUAACAGCAAGAUCGCAGCCAUCCGUCUGCGAGGCGCCGCGGCCUUCACUGGUUCGCGGCGCGGAGCAGACAUUUUACUUUGAAAAAAUUAGAGUGUUUAAGGCAGGCUCCGCGCCUGAAUACAUUAGCAUGGAAUAAUGGAAUAGGACGCUUGUCCGUUUGAUUGGUUAUCGGACUGGCGUAAUGAUUAAUAGGGACAGUUGGGGGCAUUAGUAUUUAAUUGUCAGAGGUGAAAUUCUUGGAUUUAUUAAAGACUAACUUAGGCGAAAGCAUUUGUCAAGGAUGUUUUCA
This 389-nucleotide ribosomal RNA is filed under the name uncultured eukaryote. RNAcentral's name for it is "SSU rRNA". It matches the Rfam family "Eukaryotic small subunit ribosomal RNA", at positions 587 to 972 of the family's 1831-position model. The record is from RNAcentral.